RNAcentral lists this ribosomal RNA (253 nucleotides) under uncultured bacterium. RNAcentral's name for it is "partial 16S ribosomal RNA". It matches the Rfam family "Bacterial small subunit ribosomal RNA", at positions 524 to 776 of the family's 1533-position model. The record is from RNAcentral.
UACAGAGGGCCCGAGCGUUGUUCGGAUUCAUUGGGCGUAAAGGGCGCGUAGGCGGCGCGGUAAGUCGGGUGUGAAAUCGCGGAGCUUAACUCCGAAACUGCAUUCGAUACUGCCGUGCUUGAGGACUGGAGAGGAGACUGGAAUUUACGGUGUAGCGGUGAAAUGCGUAGAUAUCGGAAGGAAGACCAGUGGCGAAGGCGGGUCUCUGGACAGUUCCUGACGCUGAGGCACGAAGGCCAGGGGAGCAAACGGG